UACGUAGGAGGCUAGCGUUGUCCGGAUUUAUUGGGCGUAAAGAGCGUGUAGGCGGCCAGGUAGGUCUGGUGUGAAAACUCGAGGCUUAACCUCGAGAUGUCAUCGGAAACCAUCUGGCUAGAGUCCGGAAGAGGAGAGUGGAAUUCCUGGUGUAGCGGUGAAAUGCGCAGAUAUCAGGAAGAACACCAAUGGCGAAAGCAGCUCUCUGGGACGGUACUGACGCUGAGACGCGAAAGCGUGGGGAGCGAACAGG
RNAcentral lists this ribosomal RNA (253 nucleotides) under uncultured bacterium. RNAcentral's name for it is "partial 16S ribosomal RNA". It matches the Rfam family "Bacterial small subunit ribosomal RNA", at positions 524 to 776 of the family's 1533-position model. The record is from RNAcentral.